GACGAACGCUGGCGGCGUGCUUAACACAUGCAAGUCGAACGGAAAGGCCCUGCUUUUGUGGGGUGCUCGAGUGGCGAACGGGUGCGUAACACGUGAGUAACCUGCUCUUGACUUUGGGAUAACUUCAGGAAACUGGGGCUAAUAUCGGAUAGGAGCCCCUGCUGCAUGGUGGGGGUUGGAAAGUUGCGGCGGGUGGGGAUGGACUGGCGGGUUAUCAGCUUGUUGGUUGGGGAGUGGCUUACCAAGGCUGUGACGGGUAGGCGGCCUGGGAGGGUGGCCGGGGACAAUGGGACUGAGAUACGGCCCAGACUCCUACGGGAGGCAGUAGUGGGGAAUAUUGCACAAUGGGCGGAAGUCUGAGGCAGCAACGCUGCGUUCGGGAAGACGUCCUUCGGGUUGUAAACCGCUUUCGCCUGUGACGAAGCGGGAGUGACGGUAAUGGGUAAAGAAGCACCGGCUAACUACGUG
RNAcentral lists this ribosomal RNA (468 nucleotides) under uncultured bacterium. RNAcentral describes it as "partial 16S ribosomal RNA". It matches the Rfam family "Bacterial small subunit ribosomal RNA", at positions 28 to 507 of the family's 1533-position model. The record is from RNAcentral.